AAAUGUUCAACUGCGUCGUGCGACGCCAACUUUGCGGAGGCGAUGCCGAAUCGUCGUUUCCGUCAGUGCCAUCGACAUUGCAAUAAGCGGACCGUCGAGCGUGCGUUGCAUUCGUCGGCUCCGGGCUGCAGGUACGUUAUUCGACGAUAUUAGGUCAAGGACCUCGGCGAAGUGUUACGAAACAUGUCAUAUUGACACUUGUAUUGCAGUAUGACGGGAUGCAACGCACCAAGUUGCACAAACCUCACGGAAGCUGGCAAAGCUUUUUACGCGGUGCCGCGCGAACGGGCAGACGUGCGCCGGCGACGAGUAUGGCUACUGCGCAUCAGCCGAGACUGGCCGGCUCCGAAAGGGACCAGAAUAUGCGAGAUGCGUUCUCCUUAUUUACAUUGUUGCUCUGAAUUCUGCCCCACAAGGCUCUAAGAAACAGCACUCUUGCCCUUCUGCCUGUAGCCAUUGGUCAUCCAUUCCCUUGUACGAAAUAAAUUUGAUCUUGACGCUCGUC
Molecule: long non-coding RNA, 505 nt
Organism: Dermacentor andersoni
Lineage: Eukaryota; Metazoa; Arthropoda; Arachnida; Ixodida; Ixodidae
Source: RefSeq, a predicted model, not a curated record